RNAcentral lists this ribosomal RNA (483 nucleotides) under uncultured bacterium. Its description in RNAcentral is "partial 16S ribosomal RNA". It matches the Rfam family "Bacterial small subunit ribosomal RNA", at positions 30 to 507 of the family's 1533-position model. The record is from RNAcentral.
UUGAACGCUGGCGGCAGGCCUAACACAUGCAAGUCGAGCGGAUGAAGGGAGCUUGCUCCUGGAUUCAGCGGCGGACGGGUGAGUAAUGCCUAGGAAUCUGCCUGGUAGUGGGGGAUAACGUCCGGAAACGGGCGCUAAUACCGCAUACGUCCUGAGGGAGACAGUGGGGGAUCUUCGGACCUCACGCUAUCAGAUGAGCCUAGGUCGGAUUAGCUAGUUUGUGGGGUAAAGGCCUACCAAGGCGACGAUCCGUAACUGGUCUGAGAGGAUGAUCAGUCACACUGGAACUGAGACACGGUCCAGACUCCUACGGGAGGGAGCAGUGGGGAACAUUGGACGAUGGGCGAAAGCCUGAUCCAGCCAUGCCGCGUGAGUGAAGAAGGUCUUCGGAUUGUAAAGCACUUUAAGUUGGGAGGAAGGGCAGUAAGUUAAUACCUUGCUGUUUUGACGUUACCAACAGAAUAAGCACCGGCUAACUUCGUG